GAUGAACGCUGGCGGCGUGCCUAAUACAUGCAAGUCGAGCGAACGGAUGAGAAGCUUGCUUCUCUGAUGUUAGCGGCGGACGGGUGAGUAACACGUGGAUAACCUACCUAUAAGACUGGGAUAACUUCGGGAAACCGGAGCUAAUACCGGAUAAUAUUUUGAACCGCAUGGUUCAAAAGUGAAAGACGGUCUUGCUGUCACUUAUAGAUGGAUCCGCGCUGCAUUGGCUAGUUGGUAAGGUAGCGGCUUACCAAGGCAACGAUGCAUAGCCGACCUGAGAGGGUGAUCGGCCACACUGGAACUGAGACACGGUCCAGACUCCUACGGGAGGCAGCAGUAGGGAAUCUUCCGCAAUGGGCGAAAGCCUGACGGAGCAACGCCGCGUGAGUGAUGAAGGUCUUCGGAUCGUAAAACUCUGUUAUUAGGGAAGAACAUAUGUGUAAGUAACUGUGCACAUCUUGACGGUACCUAAUCAGAAAGCCACGGCUAACUACGUG
This 497-nucleotide ribosomal RNA is filed under the name uncultured bacterium. Its description in RNAcentral is "partial 16S ribosomal RNA". It matches the Rfam family "Bacterial small subunit ribosomal RNA", at positions 28 to 507 of the family's 1533-position model. The record is from RNAcentral.